AUUGAACGCUGGCGGCAUGCUUUACACAUGCAAGUCGAACGGCAGCGCGGGCUUCGGCCUGGCGGCGAGUGGCGAACGGGUGAGUAAUACAUCGGAACGUGCCCAGUAGUGGGGGAUAGCUCGGCGAAAGCCGGAUUAAUACCGCAUACGACCUGAGGGUGAAAGCGGGGGAUCUUCGGACCUCGCGCUAUUUGAGCGGCCGAUGGCAGAUUAGCUAGUUGGUGGGGUAAAGGCCUACCAAGGCGACGAUCUGUAGCUGGUCUGAGAGGACGACCAGCCACACUGGGACUGAGACACGGCCCAGACUCCUACGGGAGGCAGCAGUGGGGAAUUUUGGACAAUGGGCGAAAGCCUGAUCCAGCAAUGCCGCGUGUGUGAUGAAGGCCUUCGGGUUGUAAAGCACUUUUGGCGGGAACGAAAAGGACUGUGCCAAUACCACGGCUCGAUGACGGUACCCGCAGAAUAAGCACCGGCUAACUACGUG
This 484-nucleotide ribosomal RNA is filed under the name uncultured bacterium. Its description in RNAcentral is "partial 16S ribosomal RNA". It matches the Rfam family "Bacterial small subunit ribosomal RNA", at positions 29 to 507 of the family's 1533-position model. The record is from RNAcentral.